This is a microRNA precursor of Medicago truncatula (barrel medic), 170 nucleotides long. It matches the Rfam family "MIR2619 microRNA precursor family". Lineage: Eukaryota; Viridiplantae; Streptophyta; Magnoliopsida; Fabales; Fabaceae. The record is from Rfam.
UAACAGCCCCCUAUGUUUUGAUUCUUUGGCAGUUUUGACCCCCCAAGGCAAAAUAAAAAUAAAAAAUUUGACACGUGGCACCUCACUUAAGGUGCCACGUCAACUUGACCGAGUCAACACUGGACUGGGGGUUCAAAACUGCCAAAGAAUCAAAACAUAGGGGGCUGUUU